GUCUCCAGAACCAUAUCACAACUAGAAAUGUGCAAACCACAAAAGGAGAAAACUCCUCAGUACAGGCAAACAUGCAAGACAGGUUGGAAAUCACCCACACACAAAACUAGUAGGAAGGUGAAAAGAGAAAAGGAGCAAAAUGGUCUAUAUCCACAAUAGUUUUGUGGAAGAGUUUUUUGCACAAAACAACUAGAUGCAAAUUACCACAUCAAAAAUAGUAAUCAUGUACAGAGUACAGUACAAAUACAUGGUUGUUAAAAUCCUCCUGAUAUUAAGAGAGUAACACUUUGAAACAAUUGAACAUAUAAAUUAUGAAAUCAAUGAAAUACAAAUUUUUUAAAAAGAUGAAUGCAACUUAGAGCUGGUUCUUGAAAUUAAAAUAAUUUGGCAAACAUUUAGCAUACUCAUGGGGCAAAUCAAUACAAUCGGAAAGCAAAAAGAAGAAAUUACAAUGAAUACCACAGAAAUACAAAGGGUUAUAAGAGAAUGCUAGGAAAAACAGGAUGCCUGUAAUGUGGACAACCUAGAAGAAAUAGACAAAUCCUAGAAAUGUACACUCUCUCAAGACAGAUCCAGGAAGAAACAGAAAAUAUGAAAAGACUAAUUACCAGUAAUGGAAUUGAAUCCGAAAAAAAAAAAAACCUCCCAACGAAAAUCUAGAGCCAGACAUCUUCACAGGCGAAUUAUACAAGGACAUAGAGGAGUUAACACCUGUUCUUCCCAAACUAUUCUAAAAAUCGGCAGAAAAAGGAAUUCUUCUAAACUUAUUCUAUGAGACAGCCAUCACUCUGAUACAAAAUCCGACAAAAAUAACACAAAAAAGAAAAUUAUAGGUCCGUAUCACGGACGAACAUAGAUGCAAUCAUCCCUCAAAUGUUAGCAAAUUGAAUCCGGCAAUGUAUGAAUAUCAUCAUAAACAAUGAACAAAUGGUAUUUAUCUCAGGGAUGUAAGUUUUUAAUACCUGCAAAGCAAUCAAUGUGAUAUACCACAUUACAAAUUGAAGAAUAAAAAUCAUAUAACCAUCUCAAUACUUGCAGGAAAGGCUUUUGACAAAAUCCAAUGUCCAUUUAUGAUAAAAACUCUCCAGAAAGUGGGUAGAGAGGCCACAUUCAUCAAUGUAAUAAAAGUCAUAUGGGAUAAGCCCUGAGUUAAUAUCAUACUCAUUGGAGAAAAGCUGAAAGUUCAUCCUCUAAGAUCAGGAACAAGACAAGGAUGCCCACCCUCGCCACUUUUAUACAACACUUUAUUGGAAGCCCUAGCCACAGCAUCAGGUAAAUCGAUCAAUCGAUGAAUCAAUCAAAUUGGAAAGGAGGUAGUAAAAGUGUCAUUAUUUUAUGCAGAUGUCAUGAUUACAUAUGUAGAAAAUCCUGAAAACACCUAAAGAUCAACAAUGAAUUUGGUAAAGUUGUGGGAUACGAAAUUAAUAUAAUGAAAUCUGUUGAAUGAUUUUUUUUUCUUUUUUGGCUGCUCUGUAACAUAUGGAGUUCCUGGGCCAGGGAUAACAUCCAAGCCACAGUUGUGACCUAAGCAGCAGCUGUGGCAGUGCUGGAUCCUUAACCAAGCAUGUGGGCCAGGGACUGAGCCUGCAUCCCAGUGCUCCCAAGACACGGCCAAUCCUGCUCUGCCACAGUGGGAACUCUGCGUUUCUAUACAUUAAUCACUAACUAUUCUGAAGAGAAAUUAAACAACCUCAUUCAUAAUCACUUGAAAAAGAAUGAAACACCUAGGAAUACCUACCUCAAGAAGAAAACAGACUCAGAAAAUCAUAGGGCAUUUAUGAAAGAAACUGAAGACAACACAAACAGUUGGAAAGAUAUGCCACGUUCAUGGACAGGAAGAAUAAAUGUUGUUACAAUGACCAUAGUGCCAAAGGCAAUAUACAGAUUCGAUGCAAACCCUGCCAAAACUCCAAGGGCAUUUUUCACAGAAGGAGAACAAAUAAUUUCCAAAUCUGUGAGGAACCCAAAAGACUCCAAAUAGCAACAACAAUCUUGAGAAGGGAGAACGGAUCUGGAGGAAUGACACUCCCUGACCUGAGCGUAUACUAUACAGUACAGAAGUCAAAGCAGUGUAUUAGCGGCACAAAAACAGACACAUAGACCAAUGGAACAGAACACAGAGCUUAGAAGUAAACCCAUGCACUUCUCAUCAAUCCAUCUACAGUAAAUAAGGCAAGAAUAUACAAUGGAGAAAAGCAGGUAACCCCAACCAGGAGAGGCUGGGAGUCAGUGCAUAAGCAUUCUUCUCCUCCUAAUCAGAUGGUCAAUUCUAAAAGGCAAAUUCUGGCCUUUUCACACUCCCAUGGCAAUCAGGCUGGUGUUGCCAUAGCAGUGACAUUGAUAAACAAGAGCAAGACAUCAAGGAGAGAAGAGGAGUCUCCGAUUUUCAGGAAUGAAUGAAGAGAAUUUAAAAUGAUAAAUAUUGGUUUAACAUUGGUUUACAUUGGUAAAUACGGUUUAGUAUUGGUUUAAUAGAAAAACAUAUUGUAUUCCUCUUAAUUCCUUUUAAAAUACAUCAAACUCACCAUAGUAAACAAGUAACAUUGUCUAGUGGGGUCUUUAUGUACAGAGAUUUGAGACAUAUGUCUGAAAAGUGUGACAUAAAGAUGGAAGGAGCAAAAUCAACAUGUAGAAUCUCAGGGUUUCUCUAUCUUAGGUAAAUUACACUAUUAGUGACUCUAGGUAACCUGUGACUAUUCUGGAAAAUGUAUUCACAUCCCGACAAUAGCACUGAGGACGUAAUGCAAGACAUAUGCCCAAAAUGCCAAAGAAAAAUUAAAAUGAGGUUUUGUAAUUCAGAUAACCCAAAGGAAGGCAGGAAAGGGGGAGAAAGAAGCAUGACACCUAACAGCAGUAUCUGACACAGAGCAAGGAAAACAACUUUUAGUUAACGUCAUUUUAACAGUAAAAUAUGGAAUGUUUGAUUUGUAUCUGGGAGACACCGAGGUCGUCCAGCCUCAUCACUUUUAUUCAGCAUUACACUUCAAGGUCUCAGCAAUUUAAAUAAGGUAAUAACAAUUUGUAAAAGUAUAAAGACUAAACAGGAAAAAGUAAAACUUUCUCUGGAUGAAAACGUGUUGUUCAAGCAGGAAAUUCUAGGAAAUCUACGAAACAUAGAAUGUAACUCAUUCGUAAGAUCACAGAAUAUAAACAUAACACAAAAAUGAUUAUUCUUUAUAUACUUUAAUAAGCAAUGGAAAGAUUAAAAAGAACCUUAGGAUAUGUUAAAACCCAUAAGUAUUUAAGAGCAAAUAUUUCUUAAAGUUUUACUGAAAAUUAUAGAACACUGCUGAGAGAAAUAAAGAAGAUACAAAUAAAUGUAAUGAGGCAUACCAUGUUUAUGGAUUGGAAGAUUCAAUGCUCUUGAGGAACCAAUUCUCCAAAAACUGAUGUAUGUAUACAGAGAAAUAUAGAUCAAAAUUCUAUAAGAACUUUUCAUAUAAAUAGGCUGAUUUUAUGUGAGUGUGCCAACUAACCAGAAUAAUGAAAGUAGUUUUAAUAAUCAAAAAAUAGGCUUGGAUGGUUUGUACUACAUGACUUCAAGACUUACCAUAAAGCUAAAAUAAUCAAGACAGUGCAGUAUUGAGUAAACUUUAGACAUAGAUUACGGAAACAAAAAAAAAA
Molecule: long non-coding RNA, 3624 nt
Filed under: Sus scrofa (pig)
Lineage: Eukaryota; Metazoa; Chordata; Mammalia; Artiodactyla; Suidae
Description: lncRNA (ENSSSCG00065045465.1)
Source: RNAcentral